GUGCCAGCAGCCGCGGUAAUACAUAGGGGGCAAGCGUUAUCCGGAAUUAUUGGGCGUAAAGGGUGCGUAGGUGGCUAUUUAAGUCUUUGGUGUAAGUGCAGUGCUCAACACUGUGAUGCUAAAGAAACUGAAUGACUUGAGUAUAGGAGAGGUAAGCGGAAUUCCUAGUGUAGCGGUGAAAUGCGUAGAUAUUAGGAGGAACACCGGUGGCGAAGGCGGCUACCUGGACCGAUACUGACGCUGAGACGCG
RNAcentral lists this ribosomal RNA (250 nucleotides) under uncultured bacterium. Its description in RNAcentral is "partial 16S ribosomal RNA". It matches the Rfam family "Bacterial small subunit ribosomal RNA", at positions 505 to 755 of the family's 1533-position model. The record is from RNAcentral.